Molecule: ribosomal RNA, 667 nt
Filed under: uncultured bacterium
Lineage: Bacteria
Description: bacterial SSU rRNA
Rfam family: Bacterial small subunit ribosomal RNA
Source: RNAcentral
UCGCACGAGAAAGGGGCUUCGGCCCUGAGUAAAGUGGCGCACGGGUGAGUAACACGUGACUUAUCUACCCUCGAGUGGGGAAUAACCUAGAGAAAUCUGGGCUAAUACCGCAUAACACUUACGAGUCAAAGCAGCAAUGCGCUUGGGGAGGAGGUCGCGGCAGAUUAGCUAGUUGGCGGGGUAAUGGCCCACCAAGGCGAUGAUCUGUAUCCGGCCUGAGAGGGCGCACGGACACACUGGAACUGAAACACGGUCCAGACUCCUACGGGAGGCAGCAGUGGGGAAUUUUGCGCAAUGGGGGAAACCCUGACGCAGCAACGCCGCGUGGAGGAUGAAGUCUCUUGGGACGUAAACUCCUUUCGAUUGGGAAGAUAAUGACGGUACCAAUAGAAGAAGCCCCGGCUAACUUCGUGCCAGCAGCCGCGGUAAUACGAGGGGGGCAAGCGUUGUUCGGAAUUAUUGGGCGUAAAGGGCGCGUAGGCGGUUUGGCAAGUUCGGUGUGAAAUCUUCGGGCUCAACUCGAAGUCUGCAUCGAAAACUGCCGGGCUUGAGUAUGGGAGAGGUGAGUGGAAUUUCCGGUGUAGCGGUGAAAUGCGUAGAUAUCGGAAGGAACACCUGUGGCGAAAGCGGCUCACUGGACCAUAACUGACGCUGAGGCGCGAAAGCU